RNAcentral lists this long non-coding RNA (422 nucleotides) under Ursus maritimus (polar bear). RNAcentral's name for it is "lncRNA (ENSUMAG00000005501.1)". Lineage: Eukaryota; Metazoa; Chordata; Mammalia; Carnivora; Ursidae. The record is from RNAcentral.
CUCAUUUUCUGUAAAAUCACAACCUGACUUUUGUGUGAACUAGGUGAAAGGCUGUCUUAGAGGAAGGGCACCAAAUGACGUUAAAGGCGUAAAGCCCUCAGGCCUCAGAGAACCUGGACUUUCAAAGUGCCUGCUUGUCUCAUAUGGAAGUUGGAGAGGGUUGCUGCUGACUUUGCACUGGAUUAUGGGAUGGAUUUUGACCACAGCCAGGACCAUCUCUUCCUCCGUCAACUGUUCUCUCCAAGAAGGAGGACCUCUGAAGCGUGCUUUGUAUUUUUACCCAGAGCAAUUAAUGGUCUGAAAACUUGUUUAUAAAAAUGCAUUCUCUUGUUUUACUGAUUAAUGUAUAGAUUUGUUACUAUUUAGUAAUGAGUAGUUCUGGAAAAUAUAUAGAAGGAUGUGGAGCUGUGUUUUGAACUACA